UUGUAUGUGGAAAAGGAAGUGGUAAUAAAAAAAGGGUAAAAAAGAGAAAGAAAGAAUGAUUAUUACCAAUAGUAACCAACACAAAGAGAUUAGAAAUGUGAAAGGGAAAUGAAAGGAGGGCUAGAAAUGGAACUACAAAAUUUAGUUUUUUUCUUUUAAUUUAAUUAUUAUAUAUAAUUGAUUAUAAAAGAGGGGCAAAAAGAGAAAGAAAAAAAAGGGUUUUUGAGAUAGUUGGGGUGUGAUGAUGGUUUAGAAGCCAAUCCAACCCAUCAUUGCGAAUCUUGGGACGGCCUUAGCCCACCAUCAUUUUACAAGCCCUAGCCAUAAGUCCCAUAAUUGUCCCUCUCUUAACCCCAUAAAUGUUGGAUUUUAUGACCGAAAUACCCUUCUUUAAUUCCCCUAUUUACCCCUCUCCACCCAUCAUGCCAUUUCCCAAUCAUCUUCAUCGUUCUUAUACAAACCAAACCUAAAUAUAUUUUCUUUUUAUUUUUAAAAUAUUUAUUUAUGAAAAAAUAAAAAAUAAAAAGAAAUGAUAUAUUUUGAGGUUCUUGCUAUAACCGGCCGCCUUCCAUGCUUACACUUGCAUGAUUGUUGUGUCAGAAAGAGGAGGGGCAUGUCUCAUGUCUAAUGUCUCAAUGUCUUUUAUUUAUUUUUAUUUUUUAUUUUUUUGUUUUGGGUUUUUCUCUCUCUCUUGAGCUAUGACUCUAUAAAUUAACGGCCUCUUUGUUUCAUUUGUCCCUCACUUGUUCCCUUUGUGCCUUUCUUUCUUCUUCUCCUUCGUCUUCUGCCUCUGCUUCUGUUACGAAAUCCAGAUUGUUUUUGUUUACUUCUCUCUGCCCAACUUCAAAAGGUGAUCUUUUUUGAAAAGAUAAAGAAAAAACACAGCAGACCCACUUUCUCUCUCUUCUCUCUCUACAUACAUUUUCUUUUUUUUAUAUUAAUGUUUGGUUUCUUCUUCUGCUUCUCUUCUUGCUUCCCCUUUCACCAAGAAAGGUCGACAUACCCUUGUGCUGUGGGGUACUUCCUUUGUUUUCUUCUUCUUUUUGUUCUUGUUCUUCUUAAUUCUAAUUUCUUCUUCUUCUUCUCUUGUGUUUUGAAGGCAUUAAUGUCCCGAUUUCCUCUGUUUCUGUGUUGUUCCUUGCAGUUCAGGGGAUGGUUGAAAAGCUUUUAAAAUUUGAAGCCUUUUAUGGUGUUUUAGUUUAGCUGCUUAUAAGUGGCUUAAUCUUACUUUAAUUAUCCUUUUCUUUCAUAUUUGGGCAACCCAAAGAACAACCCAUUUCUGUCUCUUUCUCUCACAAUGAGUGUGGUUUUGCUGCUCUCUGUCUCUUUCUCUUCCAACUCUCAUUAUUACAUAUGGCUAAGGCCAGAGCUUCUUCUUCUCAAUCACUGCUGGAUUUAUCAGUCUCUAUAAAUCAAACUCAUCCUUUUUUGAAUAUCAAAUUCAAAACCCAUCUCAGCCUUCAACUCGUAUCCAACUUGAAGGGAAGUGUUUUUUGGAAUUUGGAAGAAGAAUUGAUUGAUAUAUAGAUAUAUUAUAUCUAUAAUCAAUCAAAUUGAUCGAGUCGUGAAAU
Cucurbita pepo subsp. pepo (vegetable marrow) is the source of this 1571-nucleotide non-coding RNA. The record is from RefSeq and is a predicted model, not a curated record. NCBI's taxonomy places the organism in Eukaryota, Viridiplantae, Streptophyta, Magnoliopsida, Cucurbitales, Cucurbitaceae.